AUAGCGAGUUAUUUUCAAGGGUUUUUUUAAGGAAUUAUGACUACCAACUAAGACCCAUUCAUUUUUUCUUGGAUUUGAUUCGCCCUUGUACUAUUGUCCUUCUCCUACACACACAGAGAUAAUAGAGUGUCACAUACUCACCCACAGAGAAGAGAGAGAGUGUGGAGAGAGAGGGAGGGAGGGAGGAGAGAGGGUAGCUCUCUCAUCAAAUCUCGCCUACAGAAGAAGAUCAUCCUCUCCUGCUGCUUCAUGCUUCUCCUUCUUAUGAUUUCUGGGCCUGUCGGCACCGCCACUUUUGUAAAUAAGGCAAGGAUUAUUUUUAAUUGAAGCCAAAUUGAAAUGGAAGGUGGUAUGUUUACAGGUAUAGGAAAUGGAACACAACUAGAGACCAAAGUUGUGCAAACAUUCCAGAAGAGCUUUGUGCAGGUGCAAGACAUUUUGGAUCAGAACCGGUUGCUAAGUAACGAGAUUAACCAAAACCACGAGUUGAUGAUCCCUAAUAACCUCAGCUGGAAUGUUGGCUUAAUUAGAGAGCUUAACAACAACAUUAAAAGGGUGGUAGAUCUAUAUGCUGAUCUCUCUGGAUCUUUUUAUUCUAGACUAUCAAGCCGACAUUUGAUUUGGUUUUUAUCUUUUCUUGAUGGUUUUCAUAAUCAUUUUUGGAUAUAUUAUCUGUUUGUUGUGGGGAACUUUCGAUUACCUGCUUUAUUCUUUUCCCAUGUUUGUCAAAAAAAUAUUUCCUGUGGUGUCCCUUCCCUAGUUAAGGAUAACAAUGGAGGAUUGGUAUAUUCUGUUAGCAAACUUAGUAUGUUUAGAGAAGUUUCCUGUGUAAAAUUCCUUGAGCUUGUUUACAUAGUGAGUAUGCUUUUGGGAUAAAUAGAAGAAAGCAGUCCUGAAAUUUUACUUUUGUUGAUUAGUUUUAUAUGAAAGCACUUCAAGGGACAGAAAGAUGAUCAAACAAUAGAAAUGUAGGGCCCAAUUGUUCAUUCUUUUUUAGUGGUGGAAUGGAAAUGGUUUCAACCUUGAUUGGCUACCUUUUGCUCA
Molecule: long non-coding RNA, 1044 nt
Organism: Malus domestica (apple)
Lineage: Eukaryota; Viridiplantae; Streptophyta; Magnoliopsida; Rosales; Rosaceae
Source: RefSeq, a predicted model, not a curated record